Mustela erminea (ermine) is the source of this 811-nucleotide long non-coding RNA. RefSeq lists it as uncharacterized. Lineage: Eukaryota; Metazoa; Chordata; Mammalia; Carnivora; Mustelidae. The transcript is spliced from 3 exons. The record is from RefSeq and is a predicted model, not a curated record.
AUGGACAUGUUUUCACUUCUCAUGGAAUUUUCUAGGACUAGGGCAGAGUAGGGACAUUAGUAAAACUCCCUCCCUCAUCCCUUAAGUCAAUAAACUCUUAUUUGGACAAUGAUGUGGCAAGUCUGCUCCACAAACCAAGCACGACCGAGAGGGGUCUCAUGAUCUUUUUGGUAUGGUCAGUAUUUUGGCAGAAGAGUCCUCUGCUGAAUGAGCCAGCCCAGCCAGAGACACCAAGAAGGCCUUGAAAAUCUAGACCCACAUUCCAACAAGAAGGCUUCAUUUGCAAUGCAGGAUGUCCAGAGUGCCAGACGAAGGACAUACCCUGUCUCCAGAGUGCAGUAAAGCCUUUGAUCUACUUCUUAAGAAAUCUUCGAGGACAAUGUAGGAGAACACAGAGGAGACUGGUGAAGAAGGAGGCAGGACACAGCAUGAGGGGUCACUCCAGUUCUCCAGAGGCACAGGGCACCUCUCCAUGAAGUCUUCCUCACCUUCUGGCAAUGUUCUCUUCCGUGCAUUAAACAUCUCCCCUGUGCCAGAAGCCCAAAUCCAGCCCUAAAUAUCUGGCCUGAGGAGCCAUCGCCAGCAGAGAGGGAUAUACCAGGACUGUGGGAGCCCAGGAUUGGAGGAAGGAAAACUCAGGUAAGGCACGAUGAAGUGAAGGAUUUUUGGCCUAAGCCUUAGAAAAUAAUGAAAUACUCAGAGGACAUGGGAGAAGGGGCAGAAGGGCAUUCCAGGCAGAAGGAAUGAGGGGUUGCCCUGUCUCGGAGGACGAACAGCCCAAAGCUGUUUAUUCUCACCUCCCUGUGGACUU